This 1518-nucleotide long non-coding RNA is filed under the name Olea europaea subsp. europaea. Lineage: Eukaryota; Viridiplantae; Streptophyta; Magnoliopsida; Lamiales; Oleaceae. The record is from RNAcentral.
UAUUGUUGAAAUAUAUUCUUCAUUUUUUUAUUCAAGUUCAACAUUUAUUUAGUUAAGUUCAUUCAUGUCUUUUGGGAUUAUUCAUGUACUUGGAAAAUAUAUGAAUUAUUUUCAAGAUUUGUUUUCCUAUAAUAACUAGUACAUGUAUUUGAUUAAAUUCAUGAUUUGUGAAACCUAUGAAAUAUCAGUGAAUGUACUCAUUUUCCAUAAGUUAUUUAGGAGUGUCAACAUAUAAAGUUGAGCAUUCACUUGAAUAUUGUCUUAUCUUCUAUAAGUUGCUCCAUAAGUCAUUUUGGGGAGUUAAGAAAUAAAGAGAAUAUUAUUUUUCAUCUUCCAAAAGUUUUCCAUCUCCAAGUUUCCAACAAAAGUGGCAUUAGAGCCAUUUAUAAGAUUGUGGAAAUAAGAGAUCACAAACAAUAAUUAUCUUUCCGUUCAUCAACUCAUUGAUGAUAACUAUAGUAAGUGAUGUAUCCGUAUGAUAGCAUAUGUUGGAACUCAAAAUUUGCGGACUUGGUAGAGAGAGGUUUUGAAACUUAAAAUGAAGAAGGCGGAUCUUAAACACGAAUAGAUUUGCAACAAGCAACUAAGAUGAAGAAUCAAAAGGCUCUCAACACGAUUCAUCAAGAUCUUAAUGAUACAAUUUUUCAAAAGGUGUAAAAAAUGCUACCAUUCAAAGCAAGCAUAUGGGAUUUUUCAAAUUAUAUACAAAUGUGCGAAAAAAAUUAAAAAGGUUCGUCUUCAAUCAUUGGCACGAGAACAUGAAGCUCUAUCUGCAAAAGUAUCUGUACGAAUUUCAAAUUACUCUUCACGACAAUUGGUGAUUAUCAAUGAGAUGAAAAGGCAUCGUAAAGAAGUAAGUGAUUUUAGUAAUCAGCAAAAAAAAUUGAUUAUUACAUAAAAAAUUUAAUUUUCAUUGCAGUGGCAGUAGAAGAAUCAAAAGAUUUGGAAGAAAUGAUUAUCGAUGAAACUGUGAGUACACUACAAACUUACAAAGAAAAGGUGUUGAAAAAAGGAAAGAACGUGUAAGAAGAACAAUAUGAACCAAAGAGGUAGAAAACAUGGAAGAGGACAUAGAAUUGGAGAAAGAAAUUCUCAACAUCAAUCCAAUAUUCAUAUAAUUCAAGAGGGUGAGGAAGACAAUCUCAAAAAAGAGGAAGAAAAGAAUAAUGGUUGAAGAUAUGAUAAAUCUCAAAUUGAAUGAUAUAAUGUUCACAAGCUCAGUCAUUUUGUAUGUUAGUGCAGAAGUAACAAUGUGGGGGAGCAAUCCACCUACGAUUAAAAUAAAGAUACGAAAAUGAAUUUUACUCUUGAAAAUACAAGGUAAAAGGAGGCAAUAAUUCUUGGUACUUAUACACCUAAGCAAGUAAUCAUAUGUGUGGAGAUCAAUCUAUCUUCAUGGAACUUGAAGAACUAACUCACCACGUCACAUUUGGUAAUGAUUCAAAGGUGCAAGUCAAAGGUAAAAUUCUCAUCCAAAUGAAGAAUGAAGAACAAUACAUAUUCAGUGUUUACUAUAUU